RNAcentral lists this ribosomal RNA (233 nucleotides) under uncultured Lactobacillus sp. RNAcentral's name for it is "partial 16S ribosomal RNA". It matches the Rfam family "Bacterial small subunit ribosomal RNA", at positions 129 to 356 of the family's 1533-position model. Lineage: Bacteria; Bacillati; Bacillota; Bacilli; Lactobacillales; Lactobacillaceae. The record is from RNAcentral.
CCCAAGAGAUCGGGAUAACACCUGGAAACAGAUGCUAAUACCGGAUAACAACAGAUGAUGCCUAUCAACUGUUUAAAAGAUGGUUCUGCUAUCACUCUUGGAUGGACCUGCGGUGCAUUAGUUAGUUGGUAGGGUAACGGCCUACCAAGGCGAUGAUGCAUAGCCGAGUUGAGAGACUGAUCGGCCACAUUGGGACUGAGACACGGCCCAAACUCCUACGGGAGGCAGCAGUG